UCGGGUUGUAAAGCACUUUUGUCCGGAAAGAAAACUUCUGCAUUAAUACUGCGGGAGGAUGACGGUACCGGAAGAAUAAGCACCGGCAACUACGUGCCAGCAGCCGCGGUAAUACGUAGGGUGCGAGCGUUAAUCGGAAUUACUGGGCGUAAAGCGUGCGCAGGCGGUUCGUUAAGACAGAUGUGAAAUCCCCGGGCUUAACCUGGGAACUGCAUUUGUGACUGGCGAGCUAGAGUAUGGCAGAGGGGGGUAGAAUUCCACGUGUAGCAGUGAAAUGCGUAGAGAUGUGGAGGAAUACCGAUGGCGAAGGCAGCCCCCUGGGCCAAUACUGACGCUCAUGCACGAAAGCGUGGGGAGCAAACAGGAUUAGAUACCCUGGUAGUCCACGCCCUAAACGAUGUCAACUAGUUGUUGGGGAUUCAUUUCCUUAGUAACGUAGCUAACGCGUGAAGUUGACCGCCUGGGGAGUACGGUCGCAAGAUUAAAACUCAAAGGAAUUGACGGGGACCCGCACAAGCGGUGGAUGAUGUGGAUUAAUUCGAUGCAACGCGAAAAACCUUACCUACCCUUGACAUGGUCGGAACCCUGCUG
Molecule: ribosomal RNA, 591 nt
Filed under: uncultured Burkholderia sp.
Lineage: Bacteria; Pseudomonadati; Pseudomonadota; Betaproteobacteria; Burkholderiales; Burkholderiaceae
Description: bacterial SSU rRNA
Rfam family: Bacterial small subunit ribosomal RNA
Source: RNAcentral